This is a long non-coding RNA of Amphiprion ocellaris (clown anemonefish), 315 nucleotides long. The record is from Ensembl. NCBI's taxonomy places the organism in Eukaryota, Metazoa, Chordata, Actinopteri, Pomacentridae.
GGGGUUGAUGAUCGUCUUCAUGGCGUCCGUCUGCGUUUUACUGACCAGCAUGAAGUGCAGGAGGAUGAAGAAAUUCAGAUAUGCAGCAGCACUGAGGCAUGAAGACACAGAGCUGCAGCCGUGGAAGACGUCCAGCGGACAAACCGACUGUGAGGCCAUUGAGGAGACAAUCCAUUACGCCUCUCUGGGCCGACAGAACUGGAGGGAAAGACCCGGCAGGACUCCAGCAGAUCAGAGUGUGAUCUACUCGUCCGUCAUCACCAGACCUGCUGCCAGAUAGAAACUCAAAAAUCCAUGUCUUUAAACUGUUUUUAC